AUGCACAUGGGUCACACAUGUGCCGUCACUUUCAAGAUGGAGAGAGCGAAAUCCAUUACAGGUCCAAAGCAUGUGUGCCUUCAUUGUAGAUCACUGUUCUUUUCUUCCCUUGGGAACCACCCCAUCCCCAACCCCCUUUUUUUUCUUUUCUCUUUACUUUUAGGUGACCCUGGUUAUUUCACAUAUGUACAUCACAACAUACAUGUAACUCCUGGAUUAGUCCUGUGAAAUGAACAACACUGUGAAAUGCAUUUGGCAGCAAAUCUUUCCAGGCACCCAUCAUCCUCUUUGAUCCACUAGCUGCAUGUUGUUUUCCCUUUGGAGGCUUAAACAGAUUCAGUAUUUUACUCCAUUAAACUCCAGAUGUUUCACAUGGCCUUCAAAAUAACAUCUAACUUACUGAUUUUAAAGCUUUUAGUUGUUCUUUUCCUCUUUACAUUAUACUCUCUGAUUUUCUUUUGACCUUAUCAAAUUUCUGAAGCAGCGGCAUAUUGUGUCACAUGACUUCCCAGCAAUGGAUGUUUCAGAGACUAUACUGUAGCACACCGAUGACCUUUGGAGCAAAUAUUCCAUUCAUCUUGGAAACUUGGCAACCUCAUUAAUCUGUUUUCAGGGAUUUACUUUAUUACCACACUGAGCAAUAUGUGCUCAUGCUGUGGUGGUUGUGGUAACUACAUAAUAAACCCUUUUUUCUUUUUUCCUUUUUUUAAAUCUGAGCUGCAUCUAAAUCGGCCACUAGCUCAUUAUUUACUAUAUAGUGAAUGGCACAUAAUGCACUAUAUGUGAAAAAGAGAAACAACGAGUGAGCAACUUCAGAUGCUGAUAUAAUCACCGCGUGCCAGAGUGUCGAAAUAACUUUUUUACACCUUGUAAAAUAAUAUUGUUGAUGAUAAUAACUUUACUAAAAAAACUACACAUACAAUUUUUUUCAGUUUUUUAUUAUUUAACAUAUAUUUAGAAGAAAAAAAUUUGUUUACAUGUUCUCAUAUUUCAUGUCAUAUUUAAUAGAUUUUUAAUUCAUUAUAAUAAAAUAAUAGUCUACCAACCAUGUGAAUAAGUGAUUGUUCAUCAUUCCAUGGUUCAACUACAGGUAAUCUUUAUACGAUAAAUCAGACUGCAUUUUGAGUUCAAAAAAAAGAUUGAAUUGUAUAAUUUGGACAACACUACAGAAUGGCCAGCUCUAAUAUAGUGCACCUAUAUAGGGAAUAGGGAGUGGUUUUGAUUGCGUCUGUCUCCUCAUGUAAUUGUGGUGGUGCUUGAGUUAGUCAGUGCACAUGUACUCUCCGGACAGCCAGGACUUUGAAUAUUGUCUCUGUGAUGCAGGAAGUCCAUUAAACGUGCCUUUAUGCCGCUAAGCCUAUGGAGUCUGGGGCACUGGCCCACCUUUUCCCCAAGGCUCUGUGCAUUUGGCAUCACUCAGAAAUUUUGUUUUGGGCCCCCUGAAUUUAAGCAAGCUACACUUCAACCUGGCAGCAGCUACAUCUGCUCAUCUAUCUUCCCCGUCUCUUCCUUUAAAAGGUCCACCCCAAGUCUAAAGAUUUCUCAGCCUUUUCCUCAAACCUGAAUGUACUUAAAAGCAGAAACACAACCACAGAUUUACCAUAUACCUGUCUGUACAGCCUUAAGAAGGUCUUUUUCAAGAUUCUUCAAGAAAACCCUUCUGUUUUUCCUCAAGAAUGUGUGUGAGGACUUGCAUGACAAAUAUGCUUUAUCUUCUGUGGUCAUUUUGACCUAAAAACACAUUCUUAACAUUGAAUGAAAAAAAGGAAAUUCUCUAUUUUUUUAAUUAUACAUUUAUGUUUCUACUCCAAACCGUUGUGUAGAUAUAAUGAUUUAAAUGGCUGUCAUAUAUUAUUAUUAUUAUUAUUUUUUUUAUUCACAAAAUGGCCUCUAAUGAUUCCAAACUUUGUUUUUUUUUUUGUUUUGUUUUUUUAACAGAGCUAUAAUUUAAGCAUCAGCAACAGGUUAAGUAAAACAUGUUAUGUAUUUAUGAUAUGGUGAAUACAGUAUAUUUCACAAUAUAUUUAUGAUUUUAGCAAUAUGCUCUUCUCUAAAGUUUUUAGCAGAUCCAUCUUUUCACAGUUUUGACAAAGUCAAAGUCAUUUGGAAAUGAUUAAGUAACCAAGACUGUCCUUACAAAACUGAUUAUGCACUGACUGCAGCACAUCUGUAGGGGUGAAUGGUAUAUCAUU
This is a long non-coding RNA of Cyprinus carpio carpio, 2192 nucleotides long. Lineage: Eukaryota; Metazoa; Chordata; Actinopteri; Cypriniformes; Cyprinidae. The record is from Ensembl.